GAGGAUAUAGCUCAGUGGUAGAGUGUGUGCUUAGCAUGCACAAGGUCCUGGGUUCUAUCCCUGGUAUCUCCA
This 72-nucleotide transfer RNA is filed under the name Camelus bactrianus (Bactrian camel). It matches the Rfam family "tRNA". From Rfam's summary of the family: Transfer RNA (tRNA) molecules are approximately 80 nucleotides in length. Their secondary structure includes four short double-helical elements and three loops (D, anti-codon, and T loops). Lineage: Eukaryota; Metazoa; Chordata; Mammalia; Artiodactyla; Camelidae. RNAcentral also lists the same sequence under 2 other names. The record is from Rfam by way of RNAcentral.